RNAcentral lists this ribosomal RNA (460 nucleotides) under uncultured bacterium. Its description in RNAcentral is "partial 16S ribosomal RNA". It matches the Rfam family "Bacterial small subunit ribosomal RNA", at positions 338 to 795 of the family's 1533-position model. The record is from RNAcentral.
CCUACGGGCGGCAGCAGUGAGGAAUAUUGGUCAAUGGGCUUACGCCUGAACCAGCCAAGUCGCGUGAGGGAAGACUGUUCUAUGGGUUGUAAACCUCUUUUGUCAGGGAGCAAUUGGCGCUAUGUGUAGCGUAAUCCAGAGCACCUGAAGAAAAAGCAUCGGCUAACCUCGUGCCAGAAGCCGCGGUAAUACGGGGGAUGCGACCGUUAUCCGGAUUUAUUGGGGUAAAAGGGUGCGUAGGCGGAAUGCCAAGUCAGCGGUAAAAUCGCGGGGCUAAACCUUGUUCCGCCGUUGAAACUGGCGUUCUUGAGUGGGCGAGAGGUAUGCGGAAUGCGUGGUGUAGCGGUGAAAUGCAUAGAUAUCACGCAGAACUCCGAUUGCGAAGGCAGCAUGCCGGCGCCCAACUGACGCUGAAGCACGAAAGCGUGGGUAUCGAACAGGAUUAGAUACCCCUGUAGUC